GAUGAACGCUGGCGGCGUGCCUAAUACAUGCAAGUCGAGCGAACGGACGAGAAGCUUGCUUCUCUGAUGUUAGCGGCGGACGGGUGAGUAACACGUGGAUAACCUACCUAUAAGACUGGGAUAACUUCGGGAAACCGGAGCUAAUACCGGAUAAUAUUUUGAACCGCAUGGUUCAAAAGUGAAAGACGGUCUUGCUGUCACUUAUAGAUGGAUCCGCGCUGCAUUAGCUAGUUGGUAAGGUAACGGCUUACCAAGGCAACGAUGCAUAGCCGACCUGAGAGGGUGAUCGGCCACACUGGAACUGAGACACGGUCCAGACUCCUACGGGAGGCAGCAGUAGGGAAUCUUCCGCAAUGGGCGAAAGCCUGACGGAGCAACGCCGCGUGAGUGAUGAAGGUCUUCGGAUCGUAAAACUCUGUUAUUAGGGAAGAACAUAUGUGUAAGUAACUGUGCACAUCUUGACGGUACCUAAUCAGAAAGCCACGGCUAACUACGUGCCAGCAGCCGCGGUAAUACGUAGGUGGCAAGCGUUAUCCGGAAUUAUUGGGCGUAAAGCGCGCGUAGGCGGUUUUUUAAGUCUGAUGUGAAAGCCCACGGCUCAACCGUGGAGGGUCAUUGGAAACUGGAAAACUUGAGUGCAGAAGAGGAAAGUGGAAUUCCAUGUGUAGCGGUGAAAUGCGCAGAGAUAUGGAGGAACACCAGUGGCGAAGGCGACUUUCUGGUCUGUAACUGACGCUGAUGUGCGAAAGCGUAGGGAUCAAACAGGAUUAGAUACCCUGGUAGUCCACGCCGUAAACGAUGAGUGCUAAGUGUUAGGGGGUUUCCGCCCCUUAGUGCUGCAGCUAACGCAUUAAGCACUCCGCCUGGGGAGUACGACCGCAAGGUUGAAACUCAAAGGAAUUGACGGGGACCCGCACAAGCGGUGGAGCAUGUGGUUUAAUUCGAAGCAACGCGAAGAACCUUACCAAAUCUUGACAUCCUUUGACAACUCUAGAGAUAGAGCUUUCCCCUUCGGGGGACAAAGUGACAGGUGGUGCAUGGUUGUCGUCAGCUCGUGUCGUGAGAUGUUGGGUUAAGUCCCGCAACGAGCGCAACCCUUAAGCUUAGUUGCCAUCAUUAAGUUGGGCACUCUAAGUUGACUGCCGGUGACAAACCGGAGGAAGGUGGGGAUGACGUCAAAUCAUCAUGCCCCUUAUGAUUUGGGCUACACACGUGCUACAAUGGACAAUACAAAGGGCAGCGAAACCGCGAGGUCAAGCAAAUCCCAUAAAGUUGUUCUCAGUUCGGAUUGUAGUCUGCAACUCGACUACAUGAAGCUGGAAUCGCUAGUAAUCGUAGAUCAGCAUGCUACGGUGAAUACGUUCCCGGGUCU
Molecule: ribosomal RNA, 1372 nt
Filed under: uncultured bacterium
Lineage: Bacteria
Description: bacterial SSU rRNA
Rfam family: Bacterial small subunit ribosomal RNA
Source: RNAcentral